This 1473-nucleotide ribosomal RNA is filed under the name Triticum aestivum (bread wheat). Its description in RNAcentral is "partial small subunit ribosomal RNA". Lineage: Eukaryota; Viridiplantae; Streptophyta; Magnoliopsida; Poales; Poaceae. The record is from RNAcentral.
AUGCAACAUACUCCCUCCGUCCCAAAAUAUGAAGAGCGUUUUUGACUCUAGUCAAAAGCGCUAUUAUAUUAUGGGACGGAGGGAGUAGAUUACCUGGACGAUCUGGACGAUCUGGCAGAGUUCUUCCCGCCGGAGUGGAUCGAGGAAAGGAACUGUGCCCACGCUGAUAGUGUAAAGCUUUUCAAGAAGCUGGACGAUGACUUUGAGGUGUACCGACAGGAGGUCAUCGCGUCUGUGAGGGAGAAGGGCUACUUCGAGGUCGACGAAGACUUCAUCGCCAACAGGAAAAGGGACAAUGAGUUGGGUCUCGAACUACAGACGAGGAUUGCCUCGGCUAAUCCCCGCAGCCGCAACCUAGCCAAAAUGAGGAUACUAAGCUGCUUCGGGAUCCGCGCGAGACCUGCUCAGCCUGCUCCUGCGAAGAAUCAACCCGUCGUGACGGCCAGCGUCGGCGUGAACAACGUCCCCGCGGCUGGCGAGGGCGGAGCCGACCCACCUAACGGCUACAAGGAAUGCCACCUGCCGGCAUGCCGCCUGCGCGGGAGCCCUCGACUCGCACCCGUCGCCGAGGAAUCGGAGGGCUCCGGUGCGGCAGUGCGCGCGGCGUGGCGCGGGGCGUACGGGGCGGCGGGGAAGCCGCGGGAGCACGCGGUGACCAUGCAGGACACCGUGUCGAUGCGGCCGUCCUUCUGCACUUGGGUCGACGGCUCGCGCAUGCACUUCUUCGCCGUCUUCGACGGCCACGUCGGCCCCGUGGUGUCGGUGGUGCUGAGGGACCACAUGCACGCGAUCCUGGCGGACGAGCUGAUCCGCGCGGCCGCAGCCUACCGGAAGAAGCAGCAGCAAGACGAAGAGGCGGAGCUGUGCGCGUGGAAGGGCGCGCUGAGGCGGAGCUUCGCGCGGGCGGAUGAGCUGGCGGCGUCGGGGGUGCCGCCGGGCACUACCAUGGGGUCCACGGCCGUGGUGGCGCUCGUGGUCCGCGGCCGCAUCCUCGUGGCCAACUGCGGCGACUCCCGCGCCGUGCUCUGCCGCUCUGGCCGCGCCGUCCCGCUCUCCCAGGACAACAAGCUGGCACGGACGGACGAGCUGGCGGCGGCCGGCGGCGUGAUGUACCACUACGACGGGGUGCCGCGCGUGCAGGGGAUCCUUAGCAGGUCGCGAGCUUUAGGGCAUACAUUCCUCAAUCCUCAAAUGACAUGUGAGCCUGAUAUUACCAUAACCACAAGGACGGACGACGACGACUGCCUGAUCCUCGCAAGCAACGGGUUGUGGGAUGUGAUCUCAAACCAGAAGGCAUGCAACGUCGCUAAGAAGUGCCUGGAAGACAAGAGCAAGUGUGCGAACGCGCCGGUAGGAAAGGAGGAAGAGGUUCGCUGUGUCUGUGCUGCUAUCCGCCUAUCAAAUCUUGCCAUCAACGAGCAUAGCCUCGAUGACAUCAGCGUGGUCGUGCUUGAUCUGAAGGUGAGGGGUUAG